CAAAUAUUAAAAUAACAACAAGCUUGUAAGUAGCAAACAUUGAAAUGAACUAAAUUGUUGGGAGUUUUCUGUGUGAAGAAGAUUUUGAGACUGGAUAACCUUAGAGAUGAUAGCCUUCAUACUCUGAAGGCUGUAUGAGCACCUCAGUUUACAACCCAGCUUUUGACUGGUUGUGAUAAUAAUAUAUUGAUUUCUAAAUAAAUAAGAUGACUUUCACGGAGAAAGUCUCAGUGGUUUCCUGACACAACAGAGCUAUCAGUUAUAACCUCCCAGCGAUAGCUUGCCAGAGCAGCGUGAGCGUAUGAGAAGAGCAGACUGUAGCUUUAUUGGUCCUGAGCAAACUGUGGUCAAACAGAACAGCUUCGCCCUCCUUUUCAAAAGGAUUGUGCCGCUUUAAGAAGCAGCGAGUGGGAGGUGUGCAAACAAGUACCUGGGCGCACUGCUGUGCUCACCUCUGAGCCUCAUAUAGCUGAAGGGACGGCAGCCUCACGCUCCGUGUUCUGCCUUGCAGGCUCAGCACCACCUUCUCCAGCACACACUGCAGCAGCUGGAUGGAGGAUGGGCUCUCAGACAGAACUACUCAAGAUUAUCUGUGAGACUUACAACAUAGCUCAAGGAGACUAAGCUUUUACUUCAGUCUUGACUCCCUGAAGCUGCUCUAUACCACAGCAGAUCUUCCCAUCACUUCUCAGUUGCCUCUGCGAUACCAUCCUCAGGACUAUUUUCUGUCUGCAGAGCAUUUCUGUAGUUCAGAAGUGCCAAGGCUCACCGAAACACAGCUGGUGCCUCCAACUUCGUACUCUUGGCAUGGAGGAAAAGGUGGUGGAAACAAUCCUGGCACCAUGGCAAAUAAUGCUGGUCAUUUGUGCUGCAGUGCUGAUCAUGAGCUUCCUUAUGGUCCUGCCCCCUGCAGUAGUGGUGAUCUGGAGGAUGAAGCGUGUGCCUCAGAUCUCACUGCAUGGCUCGGUGUGAGCCAGCCACGCAUUCUUUCGAAGGCUGCUUCAGAACUAUGAAAUCUCUCAAGAUCACCAUUACUGCUCAAGGUCCAUCCCAAACUCACUGUUUUCCUGCUCCAUCGCUGUUAAGUCCCAGUAAAAAGAGAAUGUGUCAGAUUUUGUUUUCAUUUGAUGCAGGGCUUUUCCUUCCUUUUUCUGUCUACGCUGUAUUAUUGUUGGUACUGUAAGUAAUACACUUAAUUCCUACAUCGUCAUUUUCUCUUUCACUAUAAUGAACUGAAAACAAUACUGAAAAGUAAGCACUGUACAGUAUUGUAUUCCCUUAACUAGUAACCAGUGAAGUUUGCCUCUCUGUAGUUACGCUGCAAAUAUUACCAAAGCCUUCGAGAUCACUGACAAGUUAUGGAUGUAUCAAAGUAAGCAGUAUAGCCUGGGGAGCUGAUGGUUUAGUCUGGAUGUACUAUGAAACCUACAAAAAUUGGGAAUGGUGCAACGAAUAAGCAUCUCGUUCUUAUUUUUCUGAUUUGAAGUUAUCGGCAUAUAAUGUUGCUUUACUGCGAUAUGAAUAUUCUCUUUGUUAUAUCCUGAGUGUCAGGAUGCAAAGCCCUUCCUGCUCCAGAGGUGAAACAAGAGGCUUAGCCCAAUGCUCAGACAUGCCCAGCCAGAUGCCAGCUCGUAGUUAAUGCAAGCAUACGGCAACUAUUUCCUUAAAUUACAUUAUGCAAAUUUAGUCUGGGAAGUAACGUCAUUAAAUUUACUUUAGUUUUUAACUGUGUUGUACAGGCUUAUUGGUUCAACUGCCCCUUCUCACAUAUAAAUAACAAAUUGGAUGGUGGGAAUAGAGCAAAACUACUUCUCUGCAAUUUUAUAACAAUAAUAAUUUUCAGCUUAAUAUCAAAUUCAUGCAAUAUCAUAUUAAAGCCUUCCAGCCUAUUUCUUCCACAUUAAGUGAAGCUUAUUAGUAAGAUUUUUUAUGCAAAGAUUUAACAGUUCCUAUUACUUUAUAAGAAGAAUGGGCUUGAGUUCCUUAUGAAGUCCAAUACUGUGUUUCUUUUCCUUUGUUAGUUAGUUUGGAAAGUUGAUAGAUUAGCUCAAUAAAACUCAGGAAAUUAUUUUUAGUACCAGUAAAAAAAUGAUAAUGGAAAGCGCUCAGUGCCGCUGGCAGAUAUUGCAUUUGAGCAUCAGCUGAUAAUGAUUUGGCUGGAAAUGAAAGACUCGAGGACAUUAUAACUUCGUUUGAUACAGACAAUUUGUUUGUCAGAAAUAAACACCAAUCUCUGAAAAACAUACAGCAUUUUUUCUCACAAAUGCUGUAAUUUAAACUACAGCCUUACAGCUCCUAUGCAGCCAAAGCAGUCAACUCGUCCCUUGCUUGAUGUAAUUACUACACUAACAAAUAGUCAUAUGACUGGCUGGUUCUGGGUCCAAAAACAGCGGGUGGAUUUUUGCUUGCAAUAACAGCAUAAUAAGCCUGAAAGGCAGUGUGUAAUUUUUCCUAAAUAAUAUUACUUACUUGAAUCAUUUAAGCAGUUAAUGGGGAUUAAGUUCAACUAAACAUCAUGUAUACUGUAAUUGCUGUCUGCAUCUGAAAGAUUCACAAGAAGAGGGAGGAGGUAAAGAGAAAGGAAAUACAAACGGAUGGGUUGGUUGUCUUCAGACUCAUGGCUUCAAUGUUUGCUCAACAGAUGAAAAGUAAAACAAAACCCCGAGCUCAGAUUCCACUGAAAACCAAGCAAGCAAUAACUAAGCUUUCUGUUUAGAUUUCAUCAUAAUUCACAUACACGUCUGCAAUGUAGCAACAGCUCCACAAAUAAACAGCAUUUCCAGCACUACGUUGUCUCUGGUCUUUACUCAUGUCAAAUACCAGGUGACCAAAAACCAGGGCUUUCUGCUCUAUAUGCUUCAUUCUCUUUAUCUUUGGAUUUCUGGUGUACUUUUGGGCACUAGGGAUGUGUAAGAAGGUGUCAA
RNAcentral lists this long non-coding RNA (2924 nucleotides) under Gallus gallus (chicken). Lineage: Eukaryota; Metazoa; Chordata; Aves; Galliformes; Phasianidae. The record is from RNAcentral.